This 391-nucleotide unclassified non-coding RNA is filed under the name soil metagenome. Its description in RNAcentral is "partial contains 5.8S ribosomal RNA, internal transcribed spacer 2, and large subunit ribosomal RNA". The stretch from base 1 to 122 matches the Rfam family "5.8S ribosomal RNA", at positions 35 to 154 of the family's 154-position model. The record is from RNAcentral.
GAUGAAGAACGUAGCGAAAUGUGAUACUUGGUGUGAAUUGCAGAAUCCCGUGAACCAUCGAGUCUUUGAACGCAAGUUGCGCCCGAAGCCAUUAGGCCGAGGGCACGCCUGCCUGGGCGUCACACGUCGUUGCCCCCCCAUCUACUCCUUCGGGAUUGCGGGGGGCGGAUGAUGGCCUCUCGUGCGCCUCGUCGCGCGGUUGGCCUAAAUGCCAAGUCCUCGGCGACGCACGCCACGACAAUCGGUGGUUGCGAAACCUCGGUUGCCUGUCGUGUGCGGUCGUCGCGCAUCGAGGGCUCGAAAAAAUUGCCGGGCUUCGGCUCGACUUUCAACGCGACCCCAGGUCAGGAGGGGUUACCCGCUGAAUUUAAGCAUAUCAAUAAGCGGAGGA